Molecule: long non-coding RNA, 914 nt
Filed under: Phasianus colchicus (ring-necked pheasant)
Lineage: Eukaryota; Metazoa; Chordata; Aves; Galliformes; Phasianidae
Description: lncRNA (ENSPCLG00000013049.1)
Source: RNAcentral
UCUUUUCAGAGCAUCACUGUGUUUCUUACCUGUUUCCAUUUGCUCAUCAUUUCACACCAAGUAAAUUCCUUUUCACUUGCAUCUCCACGUAUGCUUUUCCUCAUCACAGGACACAUGGACCUCUUGACGCACAGCAGCGUUCAGCAGAGUGCGUGCAGAAGGAAAGCUCAGAGUUGCAGCAGGAGGAACGGGCUCAUAGGCAGAUUGCACAAUGCUCGUGAGGUCAAAAGGAUGUGAGCUGAGAGGUAUCGCAGCCAAACUGUAGGGCAGGGACAGGAAUGUGCUGAGAUGCUGAGCACCGCUCUGGGAAAAGAAGCAGGUUGGAGCAGAGCUGGGCUCCACGGUUUGGGGCAGGCCUGGGAAAUGUUUUUGCUCUGCCUCUCCCCCCGAACUGUAAAUGAUUCUUAUCCAUCAUUAUUAUGUCACUGUGCAUGGGGAUGGCCUAAGGGCUCUGCAGAGGUCAGCAAGCUGAUCUAUAAAAAGGCACCCAACAAUCAGCUGACUUUGUUGUGCACAGAAAAGGAAUGGGAGCUUUGUGCAAGGGGAAACUGGAUGGACAUCACAAGAGAUGAGCAUCUUUGCCUUGGCUCUGCGUAGGAGCGGUUGGUCUCCUGGUAGCACAGGCUGUUGUGUUGGUCCCUGUUCUUCCUCCUCAACCUGACUGAGCAAGUCUGCCUCCAAGCACUCAGCCCAGCCUGCAGCAUGCAUCCAUCCAUCCAUCCAUCGCAGCCUGGGAACCCACUCUCAGCCUGCUUAACUGGUUUUAUUUCUUUUUCUAAUAGAAAACAUUUUUUUUCUCUCCUUUUAAGCUUUCUGAAAGAAAAUACCUGCAUUGUCUGAAAAUAGUUCAUUUCCCCCUGAAAAUAUCCCUCCUCCCAUAAUAAACCUACAGUUUUGAUUUAAAGCUACCUGCA